This 468-nucleotide ribosomal RNA is filed under the name uncultured bacterium. RNAcentral's name for it is "partial 16S ribosomal RNA". It matches the Rfam family "Bacterial small subunit ribosomal RNA", at positions 28 to 507 of the family's 1533-position model. The record is from RNAcentral.
GACGAACGCUGGCGGCGUGCUUAACACAUGCAAGUCGAACGGAAAGGCCCUGCUUUUGUGGGGUGCUCGAGUGGCGAACGGGUGAGUAACACGUGAGUAACCUGCCCUUGACUUUGGGAUAACUUCAGGAAACUGGGGCUAAUACCGGAUAGGAGCUCCUGCUGCAUGGUGGGGGUUGGAAAGUUUCGGCGGUUGGGGAUGGACUCGCGGCUUAUCAGCUUGUUGGUGGGGUAGUGGCUUACCAAGGCUUUGACGGGUAGCCGGCCUGAGAGGGUGACCGGCCAAAUUGGGACUGAGGUAAGGCCCAGAAUGCUACGGGAGGCAGGAGUGGGGAAUAUUGCAAAAUGGGCGGAAGCCUGAUGCAGCAACGCCGCGUGCGGGAUAACGGCCUUCGGGUUGUAAACCGCUUUCGCCUGUGACGAAGCGUGAGUGACGGUAAUGGGUAAAGAAGCACCGGCUAACUACGUG